CUGGGGACCCGCGCCCGCCCGCCCCUCGGGGACCGCCCUCCCCUCGCGCCGACGCGAGCCCCUUAGGAAACUUAACUUCGCGUCUUUCCCAGAAAUGGGUCUCUUCCUGUUUGGGAAGAAGAGUCUUCCCGAAAUCUUAGGGCGGUGGACUUCACGCACACGCAGAAGAGGUUUUGUUUUGGUUUUUUAAUUCCCGGCGUUCGAGAUUGAUGAGCCUUAGUGGAAGUUCAGUUAACAAGGGCUCUCUCCUUGGAGUCGCAAGACCUGUGGUCUGAAAGCGCCGGCUUAAGUGAGAUAGCAACGUCAAUCCUCUAUUUCCACUGAUGCUGAACUCACAGAAACUGUGUAAACACACACAAGUUCAUUGUGAAUGAGGAAAAUCUGUGUUCAGUUCUAGGAAUCUCCCACGGACGGCCAGAAGUUCUACACAGACCCACGUUCAGCCUUCCGUGCCUAGAGAACAGCCAGACUAUUCCAUGCUGAUACGGCAACCUCCCUGACAGAGUGCCCCCCGAUGUUUCUCAAGAAAAAGAUAAUUUUAGGGGCGCCUGGGUGGCUCAGUUGGUUAAGUGACUGCCUUCGGCUCAGAUCAUGGU
Molecule: long non-coding RNA, 596 nt
Organism: Leptonychotes weddellii (Weddell seal)
Lineage: Eukaryota; Metazoa; Chordata; Mammalia; Carnivora; Phocidae
Source: RefSeq, a predicted model, not a curated record